CGGAGGAUCCAAGCGUUAUCCGGAAUCAUUGGGUUUAAAGGGUCCGUAGGCGGUUUUGUAAGUCAGUGGUGAAAUCUGGUCGCUCAACGAUCAAACGGCCAUUGAUACUGUAAGACUUGAAUUACUUGGAAGUAACUAGAAUAUGUAGUGUAGCGGUGAAAUGCUUAGAGAUUACAUGGAAUACCAAUUGCGAAGGCAGGUUACUACAAGUAUAUUGACGCUGAUGGACGAAAGCGUGGGGAGCGAACAGGAUUAGAUACCCUGGUAGUCCACGCCGUAAACGAUGGAUACUAGCUGUUUGGAGCAAUCUGAGUGGCUAAGCGAAAGUGAUAAGUAUCCCACCUGGGGAGUACGCUCGCAAGAGUG
Molecule: ribosomal RNA, 366 nt
Filed under: uncultured organism
Description: bacterial SSU rRNA
Rfam family: Bacterial small subunit ribosomal RNA
Source: RNAcentral